Molecule: ribosomal RNA, 328 nt
Filed under: uncultured eukaryote
Lineage: Eukaryota
Description: partial 18S ribosomal RNA
Rfam family: Eukaryotic small subunit ribosomal RNA
Source: RNAcentral
CCCUUAGAUGUCCGGGGCUGCACGCGCGCUACACUGAAGGAAUCAGCGUGCUAAAACCAUUGUCGAAAGGCAUUGGUAAACCCAUUAAAAUCCUACGUGAUUGGGAUCGGGAAUUGCAAUUAUUUCCCUCGAACGAGGAAUUCCCAGUAAGUGUGGGUCAUAAGCUCGCGUUGAUUACGUCCCUGCCCUUUGUACACACCGCCCGUCGCUGCCCGGGACUGAGCCGUUUCGAGAAAAGCGGGGACUGCUGCUGUCGGGGCUUUCGGGCCUUGGCUUCGGUGGAAACCGCUUUAAUCGCAGUGGCUUGAACCGGGCAAAAGUCGUANCA